GAACUUAGCAGAGAUGCUUUGGUGCCUUCGGGAACUCUGAGACAGGUGCUACAUGGCUGUCGUCAGCUCGUGUUGUGAAAUGUUGGGUUAAGUCCCGCAACGAGCGCAACCCUUAUCCUUUGUUGCCAGCGGCUCGGCCGGGAACUCAAAGGAGACUGCCGGUGAUAAACCGGAGGAAGGUGGGGAUGACGUCAAGUCAUCAUGGCCCUUACGGCCAGGGCUACACACGUGCUACAAUGGCGCAUACAAAGAGAAGCGACCUCGCGAGAGCAAGCGGACCUCAUAAAGUGCGUCGUAGUCCGGAUUGGAGUCUGCAACUCGACUCCAUGAAGUCGGAAUCGCUAGUAAUCGUAGAUCAGAAUGCUACGGUGAAUACGUUCCCGGGCCUUGUACACACCGCCCGUCACACCAUGGGAGUGGGUUGCAAAAGAAGUAGGUAGCUUAACCUUCGGGAGGGCGCUUACCACUUUGUGAUUCAUGACUGGGGUGAAGUCGUAACAAGGUAGGCGUAGCGAG
RNAcentral lists this ribosomal RNA (516 nucleotides) under uncultured bacterium. Its description in RNAcentral is "bacterial SSU rRNA". It matches the Rfam family "Bacterial small subunit ribosomal RNA", at positions 993 to 1509 of the family's 1533-position model. The record is from RNAcentral.